GGAAUCAACGCUGGCGGCGUGCCUAACACAUGCAAGUCGAACGCGAAAGUCCCGAAAGGGAUAAGUAGAGUGGCAAACGGGUGAGUAACACGUGGGUGACCUGCCUUCGAGCGGGGGAUAACGUCCCGAAAGGGACGCUAAUACCGCAUAACAUCCUGCCUUUUAAGAGGUGGAGAUCAAAGCCGGGGACCGCAAGGCCUGGCACUUGAAGAGGGGCCCGCGUCUGAUUAGCUAGUUGGUGGGGUAAUGGCCUACCAAGGCAACGAUCAGUA
This 272-nucleotide ribosomal RNA is filed under the name uncultured bacterium. Its description in RNAcentral is "partial small subunit ribosomal RNA". It matches the Rfam family "Bacterial small subunit ribosomal RNA", at positions 27 to 285 of the family's 1533-position model. The record is from RNAcentral.